Lutra lutra (Eurasian river otter) is the source of this 1793-nucleotide long non-coding RNA. RefSeq lists it as uncharacterized. The record is from RefSeq and is a predicted model, not a curated record. NCBI's taxonomy places the organism in Eukaryota, Metazoa, Chordata, Mammalia, Carnivora, Mustelidae. The transcript has 3 exons.
CUUCAGACAGGAGCCCUCACUCCCAGACUGCGGGAUCUGGCUGGAGCUACACUCCAACAGCUGUGUAGGCAUUAUAAAUCUCUCUCCUGGAGAUGAGGCACAGAGGCUCUCAAUGUGUCCUGCUAAUGGUAAAUCUGUCAGCACCCACAGCACCAGCUCUGGACUCUGAAAGCAUCAAGUGCAGUCUGUCUUUAAAUCUCCACCUUCAAGAAAAGUGGUCAUAUGCUUUCUUUUGAAUGUGAAAUCAGAAGUUCAGUUCCCUGAUGUAUCACCCCACAGAUGUAUGACUUCGAACAAUCACUUCAUCGCUUUUGAAUUCCUCGUUGUAGAAAAAUGAUUAUCAAAUUUUUCUUCUCUGCUGGAGACAAGGAUGAUGAAAUGAGAUCGUCUGUGGCUAUCAAUCAGAGUUUUAGUUGGCAACAACCUGUGGAUUGCUGAUAAAUCAGCUGUUCAGAAACAGGGAAAUCUGGUUUGUAGCACUUGCCGAUUUCCGUGGUGUAAAUACGUCCAUUGCAGCUGGUUUGAAGCCACCAACACGACGUCACGGAGCAAGGAGCUAGGAAGAGGAGUGAACGACUGGAUCUCCUCGGCUGGCCUGAGUGUCUCCAGCACAGCCCUGAAGACAACAGUCACCAACUCCGGCUAAUUUUAUCAGGAAAAAAAAAAAAAAAAGUACCCAAAGGAUAGGGGGUAGCUUGCAGAAUUUCCAGCUGGCAGCUCAGACUUGAAGUUCAGGCUGCCCAGAGUCACACCCCCGAAUCACCCCCAGAAACAGGUCAAUAGCGAAGAUGCUAUCGCUGCCCCCUCUGGCACAGCUCCAUCCUCACCAACAACUCCGGACACUGGCCAAGGCCACGAAAAGAGCAGACUUGGGAAACCACAGACCUGCUGCACGAGGCCUCGCCAGCCACGAGAAGGCACCAGGGAGGGCGUGGGUCCUGUUCCCUCCCACUGGGAGCUUCCCAUGUGAUCUCGGAAGGUGCAACUGAUUGGUGGAGCCAAGUCACAUGUCUGUGCACCUGCCAUGAGUGUAUUUGUUUAUGAAGCAGCUAGAACAAAUCACCAACAACCAGGUGGCUUAACACAACGGAAUUAUGUGUAGUUCUGGAGGCCUGAAGUUCAAAAUCACAGUGCCAGCAGUGCCAGCAGGGCUGCUCUUCCUCUAGAGAUUCUAGGGAAGAAAGGACUCUUCCCUGCCUCCUCUGGCUUCUGCUGGCUGCCACACUUGGAUCUGUGUCUUCCCUUGGCCUUGUCCUCGUCUCUCUCUGUGUCUCUUACAAGAACACUAACUGGGUUUAGGGUCCAUUUUGGAUCAACCCUGAAGAGCUCAUCUCAAGCUUAACUUACACCAGCAAAGACUGUUUCACCCAAUAAGGUCACGUUCACAGGUUCUGGGGUUUAGGACAUGGGCACCCCUUUUGGGGGCCACCAUUCAACCCACUAUAGUGUCUGUCCAGAUUUGUCCCAAGGGCCAUAGAUUGCCGACCCCUGAUCUAGAAACAUGGAGGAGCCCGGCACAAAGUGAGUGAGUGCUCAGUAAGUUGGCCUGAGUUUUCCCAUCCUUGGUGUCUUAGAAAUGUAUCGAACAUGGAUGACUGAGUCAGGGCAGAAAUUAGCAGAUUAGAACACAACUAAUGCUCUGUGACCCACACUCUUGGAUAAAUUAGACAGAGCUGAAGAAUUGUGGUGUCUGACAACAACAGAGUUCAAGUUUUUGAGAUGAGUUUUCCCUGUUUUAGAGCCAAGGGCUAGCUAAUGUGGUCUGAAUUCUAAUCCCUGGUGACAGCACCCCA